This 486-nucleotide ribosomal RNA is filed under the name uncultured bacterium. RNAcentral's name for it is "partial 16S ribosomal RNA". It matches the Rfam family "Bacterial small subunit ribosomal RNA", at positions 30 to 507 of the family's 1533-position model. The record is from RNAcentral.
AUUGAACGCUGGCGGCAUGCCUUACACAUGCAAGUCGAACGGCAGCACGGGUGCUUGCACCUGGUGGCGAGUGGCGAACGGGUGAGUAAUACAUCGGAACAUGUCCUGUAGUGGGGGAUAGCCCGGCGAAAGCCGGAUUAAUACCGCAUACGAUCUACGGAUGAAAGCGGGGGACCUUCGGGCCUCGCGCUAUAGGGUUGGCCGAUGGCUGAUUAGCUAGUUGGUGGGGUAAAGGCCUACCAAGGCGACGAUCAGUAGCUGGUCUGAGAGGACGACCAGCCACACUGGGACUGAGACACGGCCCAGACUCCUACGGGAGGCAGCAGUGGGGAAUUUUGGACAAUGGGCGAAAGCCUGAUCCAGCAAUGCCGCGUGUGUGAAGAAGACCUUCGGGUUGUAAAGCACUUUUGUCCGGAAAGAAGUCCUUGGCCCUAAUACGGUCGGGGGAUGACGGUACCGGAAGAAUAAGCACCGGCUAACUACGUG